Molecule: long non-coding RNA, 619 nt
Organism: Lathyrus oleraceus (garden pea)
Lineage: Eukaryota; Viridiplantae; Streptophyta; Magnoliopsida; Fabales; Fabaceae
Exons: 3
Source: RefSeq, a predicted model, not a curated record
CUUUGUGUAAAAAUGCACAAAAUGAGCACUGUACAUUUUCUGGAUGUGCUUUUUUGCUUCAAACAUGGGGGUGGUGGAGAUUGCCGAGGCUAGCCCCAGAAAAUCCUAAUGACUACUCCUUCCCCUACGCAACUAGGUUCAUUACAACCGGACUGGAUUACAGUCUUACCCCCAAAAAUAAAAUUAUAUUUUAUCGUCAACUGUUGGAUCGUCUCCGAGCACAGGAUUUUAUUUGGAGGCCAUAUUUGGGAUUGGAACAUCAACCCAACCCCGAAGAUGCAGCUGUUUGGACAGCAAAAACGGCCAUAAUGCGGUUCACCACUGUGGAGAUGCACCAAAGUGACCGUGUCAAGCUUCAAUUCGGAAUGCAUCAAGACAUCCCAGGCCCCCCAAUGUCCAUGGAACCUUGGCAUCUAAAAAAAGUCAGCCACCAGUGGUAUGCCCAAAAUUGGAAGGAAUUUGCUAAGGAGUUUCGAAAAAUGUGGAAAGACCGUGCCCACUAUGUUCUACAAUUUCCGGUGGCGCCCAACGAAAUGAAGCCGACAAGGGAAUAUGUGGAAUGGUAUAGAGCAAAUACCAAUCCAGAAAUGAUUGUGUCUGACCCGUUCUAUUUGGACGA